This 228-nucleotide unclassified non-coding RNA is filed under the name Hevea brasiliensis (rubber tree). Lineage: Eukaryota; Viridiplantae; Streptophyta; Magnoliopsida; Malpighiales; Euphorbiaceae. The record is from RNAcentral.
GUCGCGACCACGACGAGUGCCGCCGCGGCGAAGGCGAGGUUCCACGCUAUGUCGAGGGCGACGAUGGGGCGGGAGUAGGCCCAGUCGGCUCGGCGGCGCUCGAGAUGGAGCGCGGCGGCGUCGCGGACGAGGGCGGGGGUGCCGCGCGGGCCUAUGGCGCGGGAGAGGAAGGAGGCAAGGCUGUUGAGGCGGGAGGUGGCGAGGGGACGACGGAGGAGGAGGGGGGCG